GGACGGGAGCCGCUCCCGGGCGGCACACAGCCGAGUCCCUCCUCCCCUCCCCGCAGGCAGCCUGUGCCUUUUCUCCAAACGAAGACAGCACUUUGAAAAUUCUUUCAAUGGAUUUUUUUUUCCUUGAAAGAUCGUACUGGGGGAAAAUGAUACUUCUAUUAGUUACAUAUUCUCCAAUCGCAUACUCGCACCCCCCUCGUUUUGAGAUCGCUCCCCUAGGCAGGCUCAGGCGGGCGCGGAGCCGCGCGGAGUGACAAAGCCGCCGCUGCCGCCGCCGGGGGUGGGAGCCGCGCUCGCCCGCCCGCCCCUCGACUCGCGAGGGCGUAAAAGUUUGUCUCAGCUCGAGCAUUCCUAGCGCCAACACGCCCUCAGGUAAAGGUGGAAGUAAAUGGCCACGCUGUAUUGACAGAGCAGGUAGAUGAAACUCAAGAGAAAAGGUGUGGAUAAAUGAAACUAGCCCAUGAUGAACCUGUUUUCUCCGUGACCACAAUAUUAACCAGGAUGAAUGGCGGUGGCAGUGGGCCUGCAUCACAGGUUGCAGCAGAUGUUCUCAAUAUUUCUAUUAAAAUUUCCUUAUUUCCAUAUGCAAGAGGAGCCCCAGAGCUGCAUCCUUAUGGUAGCUACCAUGCCGUGAUGUAAGCUGCCAUUCACUGGGGAGCUUUGGCAAUAGAAUUGGCUAGAUCAGGAAGCCUAUGUCAACUAUGGAACAACAACUUGCAGCUCAUCUCUAUUGAUGGUGAAACAGUCGCAAAUGGAAUUCCAAGAAACAUUCUAUAUACACUGCCUCUAGGACUGGGACAGAUAGCCACUGAGUACCUGCUUCAAAUCACCCUGCACGUUUUCUCUUUGGAAAGAUAAGCACUGGAGAACCAUCUCGUUACCUUCAGCAGAAAUGGAAACAAAUCAAGACAUUAAGAAUGCCGCAGUGGACAGCAGUUAUGCAAGGUUCAGCAGAGGAAGUUUUCAAGAUGGUGUGCCUCACUAGCCAGAAAUCAGAAAAGAUCGAAGCUAGCCUUUUCAUCUCAGCUGCUCCUUAAAUCAGUGCAACCCCUCCAAAUUAAUGUGAAUUGAAACUUGCAUUGCUUUUCAACUUAAUUGAAUACUUACUAUAUGUGAACCACUGCACAAAAUAGGGGAAGAAGAUGUGGGAGACAAAGAUGUGGAGCCUGUCUUCAAUAAAUUUACAGUUAGUUUCAGGGUACAUUGUUUUUCUUCUGCUGUUAAUUAGGUGUAUCCCCAAGACAAUAAAUACAUGAAUGGAAAAGUAUAUUCUGUGUUUUAAGUCUCUUUAAUAAAAAACAAAACAAAAUCCAAAAAAACUCCUAACAUGGCAACUCAGGACAUUUUAAUCCUUUUUUUUGUUGUUGGGCUUCUGAUAGGAUCCAUUUUAUUGAUUCCAUAAAUAUUUAGUAGACUUUAGACAUAUUAAUACAUUGUAGUUUGAGUUAAUUUGCAUUAAAUUCUGUUUUUUUCCCCUUAGGUAUAGAUUGUCUGUUGGAAAAAUAUAUUGCUUGUGGAUUUCUUGGGGAGUGGGAAGGUGAAUUAUACCUGUUGUCUCUACAGUCCACUACCUUCCACACCCUAGGGCAGUGGUCCCCAACCUUCUUGGCACCAGGGAUCAGUUUCCUGGAAGACAAUUUUUCUGUGGAUGGUGUGGGGAUGGUUUUGGGAUGGAACUGUUCCACCUCAGAUCAUCAGGCAUUAGUUAGGCUCUCAUAACGAGUGCGCAGCCUAGAUCCCUCACAUGCACAGUUCACAGUAGGGUUUGCGCUGCUAUGAGAAUCUAAGGCUGCCACUGAUCUGACAGGAGGCAGAACUCAGGUGGCAAUGCUUACUGGCCCACUGCUCACCUCUUGCUGUGCGGCCUGGUUCCUAAUAGGCCAUGGACCCCCACAGACGGGUACUAGUCUGCAGCCUGUGGACCCCAGCCCUAGGGGCCUGCCAUUCUGAGUGAGUUAUUAGCAUGAAGAAGAGGAAGAUCUGGAUCAAACGUGGGUGAUGGUACUCAGAGACCCAAGAUAGGAUAGGGAUGGAACAAAAUCCAUCUGGGCAACGGCUCUAUGAAAAUUUGGCUAAGUAAUUAUUUCAGUAUUCAUUGUAUUCAUUGUCCUUCGUGUUCCAUAAGUUAAAUGACUGUCUAAUUUUUCCAAAAAUUUAUUUCUGACUUGAGAAUAAGUGUGUCAUGAUUUUCCCAGUGUAAAGACACUGAUAUAACUGUAGAUACCAGACAUUUUAUGUAGUGUCUAUGACACAUUUUAGUAUGUAUGAGCCAACAAUAGACAUGUCUUUGUCUUGAGGAGUGUCCAUCUGAAUUGAAAAUGUGUCAGCUUUUUUUUAACAUCAUCAACAGACUUCUUAAUUAAGCUGCCAAUACAUACUGCCAAUAGCACUGUGUGCUGUCUGAGAAAUGCAUUGUGUAAGUGCUAUUUCCAUCUUAUUAAAUAAACAAUGUUGCUCUGUAUAAACUGGAUUUAAAGUGUUCUUUGAAUGAGGCAUUAUAUUGCUCCAUAAAUAAUGUGAUGUGAAUUCUCAUAUGAUCCCUUUUAACUUAAUUUCUAAAAAAAUAUUAUUUGCUCCUCAGUAAGGAAUAGCUCUAAUUGGACUGGUAACUUUAGUGAUAUGAUUUGUCUGUAACAGGCUGAAUCGCCCCACUCCCAAACUCCUGGUCGUGAUACUGGAUAUUUGUUAUGCCACUUUUAGUUUGCAUGAGGUAUCUUCCAGGAAGUAUUAGUUAUUAACUUGUGUUCUACUAAACUGUAGAUAUUUAUUUCCUGUUCUGGAAGAUUUCUUGGAGUGUCCAUCUGUGCAUUCCUGGUGCCUAGUGUAGUCUUGCUAAUGGAAUAGCACCUUUAUUGGUGCUACUUAGGGGUUGGUAGCUUACAAUCAAUCUACUUGGAACGUAUCCAAAUAAACUGGAU
RNAcentral lists this long non-coding RNA (2918 nucleotides) under Homo sapiens (human). RNAcentral's name for it is "NR2F1 regulatory antisense RNA 1". Lineage: Eukaryota; Metazoa; Chordata; Mammalia; Primates; Hominidae. The record is from RNAcentral.